UCCGGUUUGUCACCGGCAGUCUGCUUAGAGUGCCCACCAUUGCGUGCUGGCAACUAAGCAUAAGGGUUGCGCUCGUUGCGGGACUUAACCCAACAUCUCACGACACGAGCUGACGACAACCAUGCACCACCUGUCUCCUCUGUCCCGAAGGCCCACUCUAUCUCUAAAGUGUUCAGAGGGAUGUCAAGACCUGGUAAGGUUCUUCGCGUUGCUUCGAAUUAAACCACAUACUCCACUGCUUGUGCGGGUCCCCGUCAAUUCCUUUGAGUUUCAGUCUUGCGACCGUACUCCCCAGGCGGAGUGCUUACUGUGUUAACUUCGGCACCAAGGGUAUCGAAACCCCUAACACCUAGCACUCAUCGUUUACGGCGUGGACUAC
Molecule: unclassified non-coding RNA, 379 nt
Filed under: uncultured Paenibacillaceae bacterium
Lineage: Bacteria; Bacillati; Bacillota; Bacilli; Caryophanales; Paenibacillaceae
Description: contains 16S-23S intergenic spacer region
Source: RNAcentral